CGGCAACAGCUCAAAUUUGAAAUCUGGCCCCCCCGCGGGGCCCGAGUUGUAAUUUGCAGAGGAUGCUUUUGGCGCGGCGCCUUCCGAGUUCCCUGGAACGGGACGCCAUAGAGGGUGAGAGCCCCGUCUGGUCGGACGCCCAGCCUCUAUAAAGCUCCUUCGAC
This 164-nucleotide ribosomal RNA is filed under the name Ophiocordyceps macroacicularis. Its description in RNAcentral is "partial large subunit ribosomal RNA". It matches the Rfam family "Eukaryotic large subunit ribosomal RNA", at positions 99 to 261 of the family's 3401-position model. The record is from RNAcentral. Lineage: Eukaryota; Fungi; Ascomycota; Sordariomycetes; Hypocreales; Ophiocordycipitaceae.